CCCCUAGAUGUUCUGGGCCGCACGCGCGCUACACUGAACAGUUCAACAAGUCUUAACCUCGGCCGAUAGGUCUGGGUAAUCUUUGAACGCUGUUCGUGAUUGGGAUAGACCUUUGCAAUUAUGGGUCUUCAACGAGGAAUUCCUAGUAAACGCAAGUCAUCAGCUUGCAUUGAUUACGUCCCUGCCCUUUGUACACACCGCCCGUCGCACCUACCGAUUGAAUGGUCCGGUGAAAUCUCGGGACGGCGGCUUGGUCGCUUGCGUCCGACUGCUGAAACUUGAUUAAACCAUAUCAUUUAGAGGAAGGUGAANUCGUANCA
RNAcentral lists this ribosomal RNA (320 nucleotides) under uncultured eukaryote. RNAcentral's name for it is "partial 18S ribosomal RNA". It matches the Rfam family "Eukaryotic small subunit ribosomal RNA", at positions 1470 to 1796 of the family's 1831-position model. The record is from RNAcentral.